UACGUAGGGUGCAAGCGUUAAUCGGAAUUACUGGGCGUAAAGCGUGCGCAGGCGGUAAUGUAAGACAGAGGUGAAAUCCCCGGGCUCAACCUGGGAACUGCAUUUGUGACUGUAUAGCUAGAGUACGGUAGAGGGGGAUGGAAUUCCGCGUGUAGCAGUGAAAUGCGUAGAUAUGCGGAGGAACACCGAUGGCGAAGGCAAUCCCCUGGACCUGUACUGACGCUCAUGCACGAAAGCGUGGGGAGCAAACAGG
Molecule: ribosomal RNA, 253 nt
Filed under: uncultured bacterium
Lineage: Bacteria
Description: partial 16S ribosomal RNA
Rfam family: Bacterial small subunit ribosomal RNA
Source: RNAcentral